CCUGGCUCAGGACGAACGCUGGCUGCGUGCUUAACACAUGCAAGUCGAACGCUGAAGCCUGGUGCUUGCACCGGGUGGAUGAGUGGCGAACGGGUGAGUAACACGUGAGUAACCUGCCCCUGACUUCGGGAUAAGCCCGGGAAACUGGGUCUAAUACCGGAUACGACCGUCGGACGCAUGUCUGGUGGUGGAAAGUUUUUUCGGUUGGGGAUGGGCUCGCGGCCUAUCAGUUUGUUGGUGAGGUAAUGGCUCACCAAGACGACGACGGGUAGCCGGCCUGAGAGGGCGACCGGCCACACUGGGACUGAGACACGGCCCAGACUCCUACGGGAGGCAGCAGUGGGGAAUAUUGCACAAUGGGGGAAACCCUGAUGCAGCGACGCAGCGUGCGGGAUGACGGCCUUCGGGUUGUAAACCGCUUUCAGCAGGGAAGAAGCGCAAGU
RNAcentral lists this ribosomal RNA (443 nucleotides) under Brevibacterium casei. Its description in RNAcentral is "bacterial SSU rRNA". It matches the Rfam family "Bacterial small subunit ribosomal RNA", at positions 18 to 457 of the family's 1533-position model. The record is from RNAcentral. Lineage: Bacteria; Bacillati; Actinomycetota; Actinomycetes; Micrococcales; Brevibacteriaceae.